RNAcentral lists this ribosomal RNA (253 nucleotides) under uncultured bacterium. RNAcentral describes it as "partial 16S ribosomal RNA". It matches the Rfam family "Bacterial small subunit ribosomal RNA", at positions 524 to 776 of the family's 1533-position model. The record is from RNAcentral.
UACGUAGGGUGCAAGCGUUAAUCGGAAUUACUGGGCGUAAAGCGUGCGCAGGCGGUUUUGUAAGUCUAUCGUGAAAGCCCCGGGCUCAACCUGGGAAUUGCGAUGGAGACUGCAAGGCUUGAAUCUGGCAGAGGGGGGUAGAAUUCCACGUGUAGCAGUGAAAUGCGUAGAGAUGUGGAGGAACACCGAUGGCGAAGGCAGCCCCCUGGGUCAAGAUUGACGCUCAUGCACGAAAGCGUGGGGAGCAAACAGG